Amphiprion ocellaris (clown anemonefish) is the source of this 595-nucleotide long non-coding RNA. NCBI's taxonomy places the organism in Eukaryota, Metazoa, Chordata, Actinopteri, Pomacentridae. The record is from Ensembl.
CUCACACAAGGCCUAGAGUAAUGUUUGCUUCAUGUUCAACCACAUGUUGUGGUCGCAAACAUCCAGGAAACACAACAGCAACGUCCAUUUGGAGCCGUGUUUCUGCCCACCUGUUGAACUGAGCCGGGCCUCGGGCUGCCAGAGGACGACGAGCCAAGGCCACCAUCAGCUCCCAGUGGUUAGAACAACCCAGUAAACUCUCCUGAGAACCGAGCCAGCGCUGGCAGAGAACCAGCCAGAGAUGGUGAAGACAGAGAGAGAUGAGAGAAAUGAGAGCGAGGCAGUCCCUUUAUCCUCCGUGUUAUCCAUCCUGCUCGUUAUUUUCUUCGACCAGCUGAUAGAAAACAACAGUGAUUCAGCCAAAUGGUUCAUAUACCAGCAUGGGAUUGUUUAAGAAGCCACAUGAUGACUGAAUGGACGAGUGUGUGAUCGUCCUCGCUGCAGUCCGGCGUCUCUCGGGGCCACGUCGAGCAUUUGCAUAACAAGCCGUCCUCAUGACAGCAACGCCGCGACAGAUGUCAGGCCUGCGAGCAAAGUUUUUGACAGUUUUUGUUCCGGCUGUUUCUCCGUUUUUUUCCUGCAGCCGUUGUAAUUU